Long non-coding RNA from Drosophila pseudoobscura, 2359 nucleotides. RefSeq lists it as uncharacterized. The transcript is spliced from 11 exons. NCBI's taxonomy places the organism in Eukaryota, Metazoa, Arthropoda, Insecta, Diptera, Drosophilidae. The record is from RefSeq and is a predicted model, not a curated record.
UGGCCACAGUGACCCUCAGCUAAUUUUAUUUGUUUUCGCAAUUUACAUUUGAACGCAUUUACAAAUAUUUUUAACGGCUGUUAUUUAACAGCUGAACCACUAAUUACACAUGGUUGGGACAUUUAACUUUACAUUACAAGAAAUCAAGACACUCUGGCAACAACGUGCAUUUGUUUACAUUUGCGGACGUAUAUGUAUAUAGGUAUGGACCUCUAUCAUCAGCUCACUGGAUGGAAUUGGGUCUGUACAAGUUGGCUUGAGCAGGUGUCAAAACAAUGGACCCGGUGAUUUCAUCAGGCUGCUGCAACCUCAGGGGAAGUAUAAAGCCGCACCGUAAGUGAGUGGAGUAUGCAGCCGUGGAGAACAUCACUACGCCUAUUGGUCUCGUCAUCAGCUGCGAAGUGGAAUCCUUGCGAGUGUCGACGCUAAACUGGGACUGCAGGACAGCAUCAACAGGGCUGAAGCUGGCCGAGGUCCAGUGCAUCGUCAUUCUGGAUGUGGACUACGAUUUUCUGUGAAGUUUCUUUUCAGCCGCCGCCAUCAUCUGGAUUCUGGAGCUGCCGCUGUUCAUCAUCAGGUUCUCUGCUGGGGGCGUCAUUUGCCUGCGUAGCAGCUGCAUUUGCGCUACUGCGGCUGAUUUCCAUGUUGUGUGUUGCAAAUGGAUUGCGCAGCCAGUUCUCGCGUCUGACUUGGAGCAGUAUUGUUUGGAUGGCUGUCAGGCUUCUGUUGCUGUUUGGAUUGUGCUCUUCAAUCAUUGCGGUAUACCUUGGCCUGGCCAGCCUUCUUGGAAUGUAUGGAUGCGUUGCGAUCUCACAGGCAAUUGCUACUUGGAGAUCCGCAUGCAGUGCAUUGUUGCUCACAUACCAGGGAGCAUUCGUCAUUGCUCUGAGAGCUUUGUUUUGGAUCGUCUGGAGCUUGGCCAUUUGCAUGCUUGAAGUCAGUGGCCCCCAGACUGGCAUAGCAUACUGCCAUAUUGGGGCAAUCAGCUGCUUAUAAAGGAGGACCUUUGGAGGUAUGGCAUGACGGAUUUUUUGGCCAGGAGUUGCCCGGCUAACCUUGGAGCUGGAGUGUGUUGCUGCGCAGACCAUGAUAAUGCAUCAGCCAGGAGCCGCUCCAUAUUUUCGUUGGCUUGUUUUGGACACAGGGCAGAUACGAGGUAUACUGCGUCAUCAGCGUACGUUGCUAGCAUUUGGGUUGCAUUUGCGUGUCUUGGUGGCUGCGGCAUGUCGGCAGUGUAAAGAUUGUAGAGCACUGGGCCAAGUACGCUUCCUUGCGGCACUCCAGCGGUUAUGUGCUUUAGGCUUGAGGUGAUGUUGUUGCAGCAGACGACUUUGAAGCUUCUGUCAGAGAGAUAGCUGGUGAGUAGAAUGUAUAAAUUGUCAGGUAUUAUCGUUUUAACUUUGCAGAGAAGACCCUGAUGCCAGACUCUAUCGAAGGCUUCCUGGAUAUCCAUGUACACGGCACUGCAAUGCCGCUGCGCUUCGUAGGAUCUGAGGAUAAAUUGCGUGACACGUCCGAUUUGCUGUUCCGCUGAAUGCUGCGUUCUGAAGCCAAAUUGAUGGUUAGGAAUAGCCAUGGCAAAGCUUUCUUCUUCAAAGAGUCGCUUGAGGAUGAGGCGUUCGAGGAUUUUGGAGAAACCUGACUUUGGGAAGUGGCCGAACUGCAGAGCCGAGUUGCAUAUCAACAGCAGAUACUCGAUGGCGGAUGUUGGCAGAGAUUUAAUGACGCGAUUGUCGAUGCUGUCGAAACCGGGUGCCUUUUUCGUCUUGAGCUUCUUGAUUUCCGAUUUGAGUUCCUGGAUGGUCACAGGGCUGCCGUGAUCUUUGGCGUGAAACGUGCUUCCAGGUGCUGCGCAAAGGCCUCAGCUUUUUCCUCCGUAGUUUUGCACCAAGGAUCAGCAGGAGCUUGCUGCCCUUCCGCCACGUGCCUCCUGACUGGCAGAUUUGGAAUAGGCUGUCUCUUGAUUGUAUUGCUUGAUCCGUUUACGUAUUCUGUUAGUCAGCUGAUUGAUAGUGCGUGCAAUGAGGGGGUUGGAGCACCUAUCUCUUUGGUUGAUUUUACAGAGUAUUCUUUUGAUCUUGAUCGCUUUCAGCGUUUGCGAGUCAAGAUGAAGGUUUUGCGGUCCGUACACUGUGUGCUGGUUACUUGAGGCUUGCGAGGCCAAUUCAGCUGCAAUGUAGAUGUUUCUUUCAAGGAUAGCCACUGCAUCGUCUAUGUCGUCGCCGUUGUGAAGUUCAGUCUCCAGAUGAAUUCGCUGUUCAAGGUCUCAGGAGGAGUCUAAUGAUUUGCAUGUUGUGGUCUGAACCUAAAUCAUAUGAUGUUUCGAUGUGAAUUAAAUUGUGUCUAAUACCCUUAUAAA